GUAGACAUGCGUGGGACAAACUGUAGGUCGUCCUCAGGACGGCAGCGCGUAUAGCGUGGGAUCCUACAGCCCAGGGUCUACGUUUU
RNAcentral lists this small RNA (86 nucleotides) under marine sediment metagenome. Its description in RNAcentral is "DUF3800-VII RNA". It matches the Rfam family "DUF3800-VII RNA". The record is from RNAcentral. RNAcentral also lists the same sequence under 1 other name.